RNAcentral lists this ribosomal RNA (120 nucleotides) under Scophthalmus maximus (turbot). The record is from RNAcentral. Lineage: Eukaryota; Metazoa; Chordata; Actinopteri; Pleuronectiformes; Scophthalmidae.
GCUUACGGCCACACCGCCUGGUUCACGCCCGAUCUCGCUUUGAUCUCGGAAGCUAUGAUAGGGUGGGCCUGGUUAGUACUUCGAUGGGAGACCGCCUGGGAAUACCAGGUGCUGUAAGAU